RNAcentral lists this ribosomal RNA (402 nucleotides) under uncultured bacterium. RNAcentral describes it as "partial 16S ribosomal RNA". It matches the Rfam family "Bacterial small subunit ribosomal RNA", at positions 360 to 776 of the family's 1533-position model. The record is from RNAcentral.
AAUAUUGCGCAAUGGGCGAAAGCCUGACGCAGCGACGCCGCGUGAGUGAAGAAGGCCUUCGGGUUGUAAAACUCUGUCCUUAGGGAAGAAGGACGUGACGGUACCUAAGGAGGAAGCCCCGGCUAACUACGUGCCAGCAGCCGCGGUAAUACGUAGGGGGCGAGCGUUGUCCGGAAUUACUGGGCGUAAAGCGCAUGCAGGCGGCCGCACAAGUUGGAUGUGAAAUCUCCCGGCUCAACUGGGAGGGGACGUUCAAAACUGUGCGGCUCGAGGGCGGUAGAGGAAGGUAGAAUUCCCGGUGUAGUGGUGAAAUGCGUAGAUAUCGGGAGGAAUACCCGUGGCGAAGGCGACCUUCUGGACCGUUUCUGACGCUCAGAUGCGAAAGCUAGGGGAGCGAACGGG